AUGGAGUUGGCUCUAGCUCUUGAAAAGAUGGUGAACGAGAAGCUGCCCAACCUGCUCAUUCCGUCUCAGAUGGAGUCCCAGGGGAAGGACCAAAAGGAGGUGCCCGCAGGUUUAAUAUUUGAUGUCCUCUAUUUGGUAAUGAGAGCAAUGCAAUAUUCUGAAGGGGCACACAUGAUUGGCAUCACUAAUAAUGCGAAGCCAUAUAUCCUCGCAAGUAAGGGAUGUGGACCUAUGUGUAAGGAGUGCGGAGGUCACAGUUUGAUUUUGUGGUUCCGUGGCGCAGAUGACAAGGCCGAGAAGGAGCACCUCCUGGCGCUGGCCGGCGGCGACGAGGCCCGUGUCCACUUCUUCCCGUGUGACCUCCUCGGCGGCGCCACCAUGCUCACCGCCGCGCGUGGCUGCUCCGGCAUCUUCCACCUCGCCUCGCCCUGCAUCAUCAACCGCAUCCUCUGUCAAUUGUACGAAAAGCGCUUGGGUUUCUUGAGAGGCUCAAGUAGUAGGGCUUCGAGCUUGAUAUCCGGCGAGUCCACAAACAUAGUUUGUCGAACCAGCUACCCCUUACUCAUGUCGUAUGUCUUAAACCAACUUCACAUGACCAAGUUCCUCAACCCGGCCGACCCUUGCAGACAUGUUUGUGCAGUGGCUCAGCUCAUUACCUAG
Molecule: ribosomal RNA, 660 nt
Filed under: Triticum aestivum (bread wheat)
Lineage: Eukaryota; Viridiplantae; Streptophyta; Magnoliopsida; Poales; Poaceae
Description: partial small subunit ribosomal RNA
Source: RNAcentral